RNAcentral lists this ribosomal RNA (1616 nucleotides) under human gut metagenome. Its description in RNAcentral is "bacterial LSU rRNA". It matches the Rfam family "Bacterial large subunit ribosomal RNA", at positions 724 to 2389 of the family's 2925-position model. The record is from RNAcentral.
AUUCCUCUACGUCUCGUGGGCUCGGAGAUGUGUAUAAGAGACAGGUGGAGGGCCGAACCCAUUAACCUUGAGAAGUUAAGGGAUGAGCUGUGGUUAGGAGUGAAAGGCUAAUCAAGCCCCGUAAUAGCUGGUUCUCUCCGAAAUAUAUUUAGGUAUAGCGUCAAAUGCUGAUUACCGGGGGUAAAGCACUGAAAAGGCUAGGGUUCACACCAGAAUACCGAACCUUAUCAAACUCUGAAUACCGGUGAGAGAAAUUUGGCAGUCAGUCAGUGGGGGAUAAGCUUCAUUGGCGAGAGGGAAACACCCCAGACCAUCGGAUAAGGUCCCUAAGAUAGUGCUAAGUGGCAAGAAGGAGGUAAGUUUUCAUAGACAAUGGGGAUGUUGGCUUAGAGGCAGCCAUCAUUUAAAAAGUGCGUAAUAGCUUACCCAUCGAGAGAAUUUGCGCCGAAAAUGAUCGGGACUCAAGCACUAUACCGAAUCCGUGGAAUUAGCAAUAAUUGGUAGGAGAGCGUUCCAACGGCGUUGAAGGUCGAGCGGCGAGCGAGGCUGGAGCUUUUGGAAGUGAGAAUCUAGGCAUGAGUAACGAAAAGCAUGGUUAAAAUCCAUGCCGCCGUAAGGAUAAGGUUUCCUGGGGAAGGUUCGUCCGCCCAGGGUUAGUCGGGAGCUAAGGCGAGGCCGUAAGGAGUAGUCGAUGCACAACGGGUUAAUAAUCCCGUACCGGCUGGGCAACGUUUGAUCUUUAUAUUGACGGAUGAGUGAAUGCUGGCGAGGUGAUGAACGUCCUCGUCCAAGGCAUCGUAAGGUGUCGACGGGACUCUGAGGCUACGGCCGAGGGGGAUCAGCAAUGGCUAAUCCCGGGAAAAUUUAUAAAGUUAGUUGUCCGGUUGCCCGUACCGCAAACCGACACAGGUAUCCGGGAUGAGUAUUCUAAGGCGCGUGAGUUAAAUCUCUCCAAGGAACUCGGCAAAAUGGCCCCGUAUCUUCGGUAGAAGGGGUGCCAACGCGAGUUGGUCUCAGUAAAGAGGCCCAACCGACUGUUUAUCAAAAACACAGCUCUCUGCCAAGUCGCAAGACAACGUAUAGGGAGUGACAUGUGACCAAUGCGGAAAGGUGAAAACUGCUUGUGAAAGCUUGUGGUCUAAGCCCCCGUGAAUGUCGGCCGUAACUAUAACGGUCCUAAGGUAGCGAAAUUCCUUGUCGGGUAAGUUCCGACCUGCACGAAUCAUGUAACGAGUUGGGUGCUGUCUCAGGGAGAUGCUCAGUGAAAUUGUAGUCGCGGUUAAGAUGCCGCGUACCCGCAGAAGGACGGAAAGACCCUAUGAACCUUUACUGUAAACUGAUAUUGUCGUUUGAUUUUUAAUACGUAGAAUAGCCGGGAGGCUUUGAUUCGGCACUCCAGGGUGCCGAUGAGCCGCAAUGUGAAAUACCGGUUUUUAACUAUUAGGCGUCUAACCGCAAACCGUAAGCCGGUUGCGGGACAGUGUUAGUGGGUCAGUUUGACUGGGGCGGUCUCCUCCUAAAAAGUAACGGAGGACUGCGAAGGUUCCCUCAGACCGGAUGGUAAUCGGUCGUCGAGGAUAUGGCUAAAAGGGAGCUUAACUGUGAGACUUACAAGU